RNAcentral lists this ribosomal RNA (571 nucleotides) under Staphylococcus aureus. RNAcentral describes it as "partial 23S ribosomal RNA". It matches the Rfam family "Bacterial large subunit ribosomal RNA", at positions 43 to 610 of the family's 2925-position model. Lineage: Bacteria; Bacillati; Bacillota; Bacilli; Caryophanales; Staphylococcaceae. The record is from RNAcentral.
AAGCCGAUGAAGGACGUUACUAACGACGAUAUGCUUUGGGAAGCUGUAAGUAAGCUUUGAUCCAGAGAUUUCCGAAUGGGGAAACCCAGCAUGAGUUAUGUCAUGUUAUCGAUAUGUGAAUACAUAGCAUAUCAGAAGGCACACCCGGAGAACUGAAACAUCUUAGUACCCGGAGGAAGAGAAAGAAAAUUCGAUUCCCUUAGUAGCGGCGAGCGAAACGGGAAGAGCCCAAACCAACAAGCUUGCUUGUUGGGGUUGUAGGACACUCUAUACGGAGUUACAAAGGACGACAUUAGACGAAUCAUCUGGAAAGAUGAAUCAAAGAAGGUAAUAAUCCUGUAGUCGAAAAUGUUGUCUCUCUUGAGUGGAUCCUGAGUACGACGGAGCACGUGAAAUUCCGUCGGAAUCUGGGAGGACCAUCUCCUAAGGCUAAAUACUCUCUAGUGACCGAUAGUGAACCAGUACCGUGAGGGAAAGGUGAAAAGCACCCCGGAAGGGGAGUGAAAUAGAACCUGAAACCGUGUGCUUACAAGUAGUCAGAGCCCGUUAAUGGGUGAUGGCGUGCCUUUUG